UGGGGAAUAUUGGACAAUGGGGGGAACCCUGAUCCAGCCAUGCCGCGUGUGUGAAGAAGGCCUUAUGGUUGUAAAGCACUUUAAGCGAGGAGGAGGCUCUCUUGGUUAAUACCCAAGAAGAGUGGACGUUACUCGCAGAAUAAGCACCGGCUAACUCUGUGCCAGCAGCCGCGGUAAUACAGAGGGUGCGAGCGUUAAUCGGAUUUACUGGGCGUAAAGCGUGCGUAGGCGGCUUUUUAAGUCGGAUGUGAAAUCCCCGAGCUUAACUUGGGAAUUGCAUUCGAUACUGGGAAGCUAGAGUAUGGGAGAGGAUGGUAGAAUUCCAGGUGUAGCGGUGAAAUGCGUAGGGAUCUGGAGGAAUACCGAUGGCGAAGGCAGCCAUCUGGCCUAAUACUGACGCUGAGGUACGAAAGCAUGGGGAGCAAACAGG
Molecule: ribosomal RNA, 430 nt
Filed under: Acidobacteriota bacterium
Lineage: Bacteria; Pseudomonadati; Acidobacteriota
Description: Acidobacteria bacterium partial 16S ribosomal RNA
Rfam family: Bacterial small subunit ribosomal RNA
Source: RNAcentral